CUCGUAGGCGGUUUGGUAAGUCGGGUGUGAAAACUCUGGGCUCAACCCAGAGAGGCCACCCGAUACUGCUAUGACUAGAGUACGGUAGGGGAGCGGGGAAUUCAUGGUGUAGCGGUGAAAUGCGCAGAUAUCAUGAGGAACACCAGCGGCGAAGGCGCCGCUCUGGGCCGUAACUGACGCUGAGGAGCGAAAGCAUGGGUAGCAAACAGGAUUAGAUACCCUGGUAGUCC
Molecule: ribosomal RNA, 230 nt
Filed under: uncultured bacterium
Lineage: Bacteria
Description: partial 16S ribosomal RNA
Rfam family: Bacterial small subunit ribosomal RNA
Source: RNAcentral